ACACAAGACUAUAACAUGGAUGUCAAGUGCUGUGCUGUCGUUCCCCAUGCUCAAAAUAAAGCUGUUUCUUAAUUAUACCUGUCUGCUAUGCUUGUGUAGCAACCAAGGACUCCUGGUCUCAUACAC
Small nucleolar RNA from Cavia aperea (Brazilian guinea pig), 126 nucleotides. Its record names the gene SNORA63. It matches the Rfam family "Small nucleolar RNA SNORA63". From Rfam's summary of the family: E3 belongs to the H/ACA class of snoRNAs and is involved in the processing of eukaryotic pre-rRNA and has regions of complementarity to 18S rRNA. Lineage: Eukaryota; Metazoa; Chordata; Mammalia; Rodentia; Caviidae. The record is from Ensembl.